ACUCCUACGGGAGGCAGCAGUAGGGAAUAUUGCGCAAUGGGGGAAACCCUGACGCAGCAACACCACGUGAGUGAGGAAGGCCUUCGGGUUGUAAAACUCUGUCCUAGGGGAAAACGGCAUUAUCGCUAAUAUCGGUAGUGUGUGAUGGUACCCUUGAAGAAAGCACCGGCUAACUUCGUGCCAGCAGCCGUGGUAAUACGAAGGGUGCAAGCGUUGUUCGGAUUUAUUGGGCGUAAAGCGCGCGCAGGCGGAUUAGUAAGUCAGGUGUGAAAUCUCGGGGCUCAACUCCGAAACUGCGCCUGAAACUAUUAAUCUAGAGUUAUCUAGGGGGAAGGGGAAUUUCACGUGUAGGGGUAAAAUCCGUAGAGAUGUGAAGGAACACCUGAGGCGAAGGCGCCUUCCUGGGGAUACACUGACGCUGAGGCGCGAAAGCGUGGGGAGCAAACAGGAUUAGAUACCCUGGUAGGAUAG
RNAcentral lists this ribosomal RNA (471 nucleotides) under uncultured bacterium. RNAcentral's name for it is "bacterial SSU rRNA". It matches the Rfam family "Bacterial small subunit ribosomal RNA", at positions 335 to 798 of the family's 1533-position model. The record is from RNAcentral.